This 645-nucleotide long non-coding RNA is filed under the name Zonotrichia albicollis (white-throated sparrow). RNAcentral's name for it is "lncRNA (ENSZALG00000011142.1)". The record is from RNAcentral. Lineage: Eukaryota; Metazoa; Chordata; Aves; Passeriformes; Passerellidae.
GGGGGGUGUGUGGAAGGGGAGGAGGGGAAGGAGGGGGGAGAAAUCAAAUAAAUAAAUAACCUCCGCACCAAUAAGAGAGGCAGCGGCUGCUGAGAAGGCUGGGAUCGGAUGGGAGAGGUCCUUCUUGGGCUCUAUUUGUUUGUUUGUGACUGGAGCUGCAAAGUUCAGAGCCAAACGUGUUGCUUGCCGGUGGCGGCGGCCGCCCCGCUUCACCUGCUCCGCUGACGGGUGCCUGCCCGGGGCGGCCCCACUGCUCUGCGGGCCUUCUGCCCGGCAUCCUGCUUGCUACUGGGGCCGACGGACGGCAGAGGAGCGCGGGGCUCCGUCCCUCGCCUGCCCGCCUUCCCCUCCGCGCCUGCCGGAGAGCAACGGACAGGUGUAGCUACAGAAAAAUAUCACAUUGAUCACAGGAGCAGAAAACAAUCUGGAUUUUCUUCUGAUGUGCUGACUACAGUGAUUGAAGUAUUGAAUCCUUUCACACCACCUUCCUGUAAAUACCCUGUUUCCAUAGACUACCAAAAGAAACUGCAAGAGACUUCAAAGCCUUUUCUCAGUGUAAGGCACCGGAAUAUCUACGCACAGUGCAGAGAGAUGCGAAGCCAGGAAAAGCUCAGCACGGGGAUGUGUUUGAAUUGCUAUUCCUGA